This 70-nucleotide transfer RNA is filed under the name Apaloderma vittatum (bar-tailed trogon). The stretch from base 6 to 62 matches the Rfam family "tRNA", at positions 9 to 63 of the family's 71-position model. Rfam says of the family: Transfer RNA (tRNA) molecules are approximately 80 nucleotides in length. Their secondary structure includes four short double-helical elements and three loops (D, anti-codon, and T loops). Lineage: Eukaryota; Metazoa; Chordata; Aves; Trogoniformes; Trogonidae. The record is from Rfam by way of RNAcentral.
GGAUCAGCUCAUUCAGUUGAGCAUGGCACUAACAACGCCAAGGUCACAGGUUCGAUUCCCGUUGGGUCCC